Molecule: ribosomal RNA, 536 nt
Filed under: Rana macrocnemis macrocnemis
Lineage: Eukaryota; Metazoa; Chordata; Amphibia; Anura; Ranidae
Description: partial 16S ribosomal RNA
Rfam family: Bacterial large subunit ribosomal RNA
Source: RNAcentral
CAGCCUGCCCAGUGACAAAGUUCAACGGCCGCGGUACCCUAACCGUGCGAAGGUAGCAUAAUCACUUGUUCUUUAAAUGAGGACUUGUAUCAACGGCACUACGAGGGCUAUACUGUCUCCUUUUUCUAAUCAGUGAAACUGAUCUCCCCGUGAAGAAGCGGGGAUCAAAAUAUAAGACGAGAAGACCCCAUGGAGCUUUAAACUUACCACCCACCUCUGUGGUACCACACCAUUCAACACAAGAGACCUGCGUGCUAGUUUUAGGUUGGGGGGACCACGGAGUAUAAUUAAACCUCCACAACAAAUGGGCUAAUGCCCUUAUCCACGAGACACAACUCUAAGAAUUACUAAACUAAUGCUUAUGACCCAAUAUUCGAUCAAUGAACCAAGUUACCCUGGGGAUAACAGCGCAAUCUACUUCAAGAGCCCCUAUCGACAAGUAGGUUUACGACCUCGAUGUUGGAUCAGGGUAUCCCGGUGGUGCAGCCGCUACCGAUGGUUCGUUUGUUCAACGAUUAAAACCCUACGUGAUCUGA